UACGAAAGGGGCUAGCGUUGUUCGGAAUUACUGGGAGUAAAGCGCGCGUAGGCGGCCUUGUAAGUUGGGGGUGAAAUCCCGGAGCUCAACUCCGGAACUGCCUUCAAGACUGCAAAGCUCGAGGACGCGAGAGGUUAGCGGAAUUCCGAGUGUAGAGGUGAAAUUCGUAGAUAUUCGGAAGAACACCAGUGGCGAAGGCGGCUAACUGGCGCGUUUCUGACGCUGAGGUGCGAAAGCGUGGGGAGUAAACAGG
Molecule: ribosomal RNA, 253 nt
Filed under: uncultured bacterium
Lineage: Bacteria
Description: partial 16S ribosomal RNA
Rfam family: Bacterial small subunit ribosomal RNA
Source: RNAcentral